Molecule: non-coding RNA, 45 nt
Organism: Echinostoma caproni
Lineage: Eukaryota; Metazoa; Platyhelminthes; Trematoda; Plagiorchiida; Echinostomatidae
Source: Rfam
GCACUGCUGACGAGUCCCAACCAGAACGAAAUAGCUGUCCAGUGC